This is a small nuclear RNA of Lepus europaeus (European hare), 103 nucleotides long. NCBI's taxonomy places the organism in Eukaryota, Metazoa, Chordata, Mammalia, Lagomorpha, Leporidae. The record is from RefSeq and is a predicted model, not a curated record.
GAUUGUUACACGGUCAUACACUAAAGUUGGAAUGGUACACACAAGAUUAGCAUGGGCGCUGCACAAGGACCACAUGCACAUUCAAGAAGCAUUCCAUAUUUUA